GCCUGAAUACCUCAGUUGGGAGAGCGUUAGACUGAAGAUCUAAAUGCUCCCUGGCUUGAUCCCGGGUUCUGGCA
Non-coding RNA from Bos taurus (domestic cattle), 74 nucleotides. Lineage: Eukaryota; Metazoa; Chordata; Mammalia; Artiodactyla; Bovidae. The record is from Rfam.